RNAcentral lists this ribosomal RNA (780 nucleotides) under uncultured Hebeloma. RNAcentral describes it as "eukaryotic LSU rRNA". The stretch from base 277 to 780 matches the Rfam family "Eukaryotic large subunit ribosomal RNA", at positions 1 to 499 of the family's 3401-position model. Lineage: Eukaryota; Fungi; Basidiomycota; Agaricomycetes; Agaricales; Cortinariaceae. The record is from RNAcentral.
GAAUGUUUGAACGCACCUUGCGCUCCUUGGUAUUCCGAGGAGCAUGCCUGUUUGAGUGUCAUUAAAUUCUCAACUGUUAUCAACUUUUGCUGAUAAUGGCUUGGAUGUGGGGGUUUAUUUUGCUGGCUUCUCAGAUAGUCAGCUCCCCUUAAAUGCAUUAGCCGGUGCCCCGCGUGGACUGUCUAUUGGUGUGAUAAUUAUCUACGCUAUGGACAUCUGCAAUCAUAUGGGUGUGCACUGCUUCCAACAGUCUGUUAAAGACAAUACAUGACAAUUUGACCUCAAAUCAGGUAGGACUACCCGCUGAACUUAAGCAUAUCAAUAAGCGGAGGAAAAGAAACUAACAAGGAUUCCCCUAGUAACUGCGAGUGAAGCGGGAAAAGCUCAAAUUUAAAAUCUGGCGGUCUCUGGCCGUCCGAGUUGUAAUCUAGAGAAGUGUUAUCCGCGCUGGACCGUGUACAAGUCUCCUGGAAUGGAGCGUCAUAGAGGGUGAGAAUCCCGUCUUUGACACGGACUGCCAGGGCUUUGUGAUGCGCUCUCAAAGAGUCGAGUUGUUUGGGAAUGCAGCUCAAAAUGGGUGGUAAAUUCCAUCUAAAGCUAAAUAUUGGCGAGAGACCGAUAGCGAACAAGUACCGUGAGGGAAAGAUGAAAAGAACUUUGGAAAGAGAGUUAAACAGUACGUGAAAUUGCUGAAAGGGAAACGCUUGAAGUCAGUCGCGUUGGCCGGGGAUCAACCUUGCUUUUGCUGGGCGUACUUUCCGGUUGACGGGUCAGGGAAGG